GACGAACGCUGGCGGCGUGCCUAAUACAUGCAAGUCGAGCGGAUGGAAGGAAGCUUGCUUCCUAAAGUCAGCGGCGGACGGGUGAGUAACACGUGGGCAACCUGCCCCUAAGAUCGGGAUAACUUCGGGAAACCGGAGCUAAUACCGGAUAUGAUUAUGUAUCACAUGAGACAUAAUGGAACGACGGUUCAGGCUGCCACUUAGGGAUGGGCCCGCGGCGCAUGAGCUAGUUGGUGAGGUAACGGCUCACCAAGGGGACGAUGCGUAGCCGACCUGAGAGGGUGAUCGGCCACACUGGGACUGAGACACGACCCAGACUCCUACGGGAGGCAGCAGUAGGGAAUCUUCCGCAAUGGACGAAAGUCUGACGGAGCAACGCCGCGUGAGUGAAGAAGGUUUUCGGAUCGUAAAACUCUGUUGUUAGGGAAGAACAAGUACCAUAGUAACUGAUGGUACCUUGACGGUACCUAACCAGAAAGCCACGGCUAACUACGUGCCAGCCGCCGCCGUAA
RNAcentral lists this ribosomal RNA (512 nucleotides) under uncultured bacterium. RNAcentral's name for it is "partial 16S ribosomal RNA". It matches the Rfam family "Bacterial small subunit ribosomal RNA", at positions 28 to 523 of the family's 1533-position model. The record is from RNAcentral.